This 67-nucleotide transfer RNA is filed under the name Marmota monax (woodchuck). Its description in RNAcentral is "tRNA.Ala". The record is from RNAcentral. Lineage: Eukaryota; Metazoa; Chordata; Mammalia; Rodentia; Sciuridae.
GGUGGUAGCUCAGUGGCAGAGCACUUGCCUAGCACAUGUGAGGCACUGGGUUCGAUCCUCAGCACCA